CGUGCAGGCGGGUUGGUAAGUCGGAUGUGAAAGCCCUGGGCUCAACCCAGGAAGUGCAUUUGAAACUGCCAUCCUUGAGUAUGGGAGAGGAGAGUGGAAUUCCCAAUGUAGAGGUGAAAUUCGUAGAUAUUGGGAGGAACACCCGUGGCGAAGGCGACUCUCUGGACCAAUACUGACGCUGAGACGCGAAAGCGUGGGGAGCAAACA
This 207-nucleotide ribosomal RNA is filed under the name uncultured bacterium. RNAcentral describes it as "partial 16S ribosomal RNA". It matches the Rfam family "Bacterial small subunit ribosomal RNA", at positions 568 to 774 of the family's 1533-position model. The record is from RNAcentral.